Molecule: long non-coding RNA, 341 nt
Filed under: Androctonus crassicauda
Lineage: Eukaryota; Metazoa; Arthropoda; Arachnida; Scorpiones; Buthidae
Source: RNAcentral
UAAGAGAAUUUAUUAUGAAAUGGAGAUAAAACAAAUUAACAAGAUACAUUAAAUUCAAGGUUGCCAGUCAUCUUUACAACAACUUGGUGUUUGAAUAAUAGGGAAUAUAUUACAUAUGAUGAAAAAUUAUUAUGAUAAUUUUAAAAAUUGCCAUGUGGGAAAAAAAGGAAAUAGGUAGAAGACGUAGUAUGAUACGUAGAAUAAGCAGUUGGCUACCAACAUUUCCAUUACCAAAAAUAUGCAUCAAAAUCAAUGUAAACAAAAAGUUUUUAAAUAAAUUUGAAAAUUCUUCUGAAUUAAAUACAUCUCAUUCCAAAUUUAAUGAUGGACUAAAUAUUAUU